AUCUUCCAUUGCCACCUAUAUUGGUUGCUCGAACUAAAGAUACGGAAGACUCAAAUUCGAAGUUUGGGUGUUGGAAAUUUAAGGCUUUCCUAUAAAGUAAUGCUUCAAGAUGGAGGCAAGAGACUUGGUUGUAGAUAUAUACAUGAGCAACUUAAUUUAAGUUUAUGUAUAUUGUCUUAUAGUGUGUUUUUAA
This is a long non-coding RNA of Vitis vinifera (wine grape), 193 nucleotides long. RefSeq lists it as uncharacterized. NCBI's taxonomy places the organism in Eukaryota, Viridiplantae, Streptophyta, Magnoliopsida, Vitales, Vitaceae. The record is from RefSeq and is a predicted model, not a curated record. The transcript has 2 exons.